Long non-coding RNA from Brassica napus (rape), 1679 nucleotides. RefSeq lists it as uncharacterized. The transcript is spliced from 2 exons. The record is from RefSeq and is a predicted model, not a curated record. NCBI's taxonomy places the organism in Eukaryota, Viridiplantae, Streptophyta, Magnoliopsida, Brassicales, Brassicaceae.
ACUUUAUUUGCAGGCAGAAAUUUGAGAAGAGCGGUGGAGUUUGGGAAAACUCAUGUGGUUAGGCCCAAAGGGAAGAAUCAAGCUACUAUUGUCUGGCUACAUGGCCUUGGCGACAAUGGCUCUAGGUACUUCUUUUAUUUCUCUAACGUUGGUUUUGUAAUUAUGGAUUAUUAUCUAGCAUAAUAGUUUACAGAACAUGGCUUCCAUAUUACGUUUUUCCACUCUAUAUCUCCGGGCCUUUUUUGAAUUGUGUGGGUAUGUCCUAUACACUAAUGUCUUUGAGUAAUGAGUGUAACUUAUUAUACACUGGUUAGUUCAAUAUCAUUGAUCAAUUUGAAGUUUUUUGAUUGUGCAUUGUGGUAAAGUUUUUGUAAUAAAAGUGUUUUAUAAUUUUUUUUUUAAGAACCCAUAAUUAAUAGACUUGCAAUAAACCACUUAAAUGUUCAAAUCUCUUUCUAAGUCUCCUAAUUCACUUUUACACUUUAAAAACUAUUAAAAAUUAAUUAAGAGACCAUUUAAGAGGUUUUGGGAUAAUGAUGUUCUAACAGAGCAGCAACCUCGCCAUACGAGGAAGAACUCCUCAUUGAUUUAUAGAAAAAAAGUUGUCAUCAUAAAAAUCAAUUUAUAUAUAUCCUAUUUAUCCAAUUAUCUCAAAAAUGAAGCUAGCAAACAAAAGCAAUUAACAUUAAUACGCAAAUUUAAAUACUACAUUGACAUCAGAAGUUAACAUUAUGUGUUACUUUUUGUGGGUUUAAUAUUAUGAGUUACUUUUUGCAUCCAAAGACUCAAACUUUAAUACGCAAAUGACUCAAAGAAAUUUUCUAUAUAAACGAGUUAUAUACUACGGUAUUCAAGAACAUCAACAGCAAGAGAAAAAAACAGUUCUUUAGAAAUUUUAUUACGACAAUGUCUUUUCUUGGUCAUUUUCAAGUUCUUGUUUUUCUUUAUGCUCUUCUUCUUUUCUCAGCAGAAUCCCACAAAACCCAACUAUUUGAUACAGAAUCUAGCGCUGAUGAUGGUGCAGAACACGAAAACUACGGGGAUAAGGUCUAUUGAUUUUUCGUGUAUAAGAAGUUAUAACCAUAAGAAGGAAAGAAAGUGGUCCAAGGAAGAUUAUAUGAACUAAAUCUAUUGUUUCUUUCCUUUUGCAGGUUGAUGCGCGAGAUAUUCCUCUGUUAUAUCUCGAGACGAAGGUGAAGUCCUGAUCUUUCAAGAUUGAAACAUAAACGAAAGAUGUGUCUGUUUUUGAUGUUUCACUAUAUAUUUAUCUCUCAGAUUUAAAACGCUCCUGUAGGGUCACCUCAAAGACAAGAAGCUCAGAAGAAUCUGCUUGAGGAAAUAAAUCACAGGAAACAAAUCGAUCAGAACAUUAUAGAGAUUCUUAGACUUUCACUCAAACAAACCGAUGUCUUAGAUCUCUUAACUUCCACAAGAACAACAGGAAAACCUGUUGUAGAUGAUUGGGACUGCUACAAGACUCUGGUUAAAAGUUUCAAGAAUCAAUGUGGAGCAAAGAUGGAAUACGAUAUGAAGUAUGCAGGAGCACUUGCCAAUAUCUGCAAUAUGGGAGUGGAUGUGAAGCAAAGUGUUGCAGCUAUUGAAGAAGCUUGUGCCCAUUAAAUUAUAUGCAAAAAAUAAUAUUGUGAUCGCCUUAUAAAUAUGAAAGUUAUUGCAUAACA